UACGGGGGGGGCAAGCGUUGUUCGGAAUUACUGGGCGUAAAGGGCUCGUAGGUGGCCAACUAAGUCAGACGUGAAAUCCCUCAGCUUAACCUGGGAACUGCGUCUGAUACUGGAUGGCUUGAGUUUGGGAGAGGGACGCGGAAUUCCAGGUGUAGCGGUGAAAUGCGUAGAUAUCUGGAGGAACACCGGUGGCGAAGGCGGCGUCCUGGACCAACACUGACACUGAUGAGCGAAAGCCAGGGGAGCAAACGGG
Molecule: ribosomal RNA, 253 nt
Filed under: uncultured bacterium
Lineage: Bacteria
Description: partial 16S ribosomal RNA
Rfam family: Bacterial small subunit ribosomal RNA
Source: RNAcentral